UGGGGAAUUUUGGACAAUGGGGGAAACCCUGAUCCAGCCAUCCCGCGUGUGCGAUGAAGGCCUUCGGGUUGUAAAGCACUUUUUGCAGGAAAGAAACGUCAUGGGUUAAUACCCCGUGAAACUGACGGUACCUGCAGAAUAAGCACCGGCUAACUACGUGCCAGCAGCCGCGGUAAUACGUAGGGUGCAAGCGUUAAUCGGAAUUACUGGGCGUAAAGCGUGCGCAGGCGGUUCGGAAAGAAAGAUGUGAAAUCCCAGAGCUCAGCUUUGGAACUGCAUUUUUAACUACCGGGCUAGAGUGUGUCAGAGGGAGGUGGAAUUCCGCGUGUAGCAGUGAAAUGCGUAGAUAUGCGGAGGAACACCGAUGGCGAAGGCAGCCUCCUGGGAUAACACUGACGCUCAUGCACGAAAGCGUGGGGAGCAAACAGG
RNAcentral lists this ribosomal RNA (429 nucleotides) under Acidobacteriota bacterium. RNAcentral's name for it is "Acidobacteria bacterium partial 16S ribosomal RNA". It matches the Rfam family "Bacterial small subunit ribosomal RNA", at positions 355 to 776 of the family's 1533-position model. Lineage: Bacteria; Pseudomonadati; Acidobacteriota. The record is from RNAcentral.